RNAcentral lists this transfer RNA (54 nucleotides) under Trichuris rhinopiptheroxella. RNAcentral's name for it is "tRNA-Pro". The record is from RNAcentral. Lineage: Eukaryota; Metazoa; Nematoda; Enoplea; Trichinellida; Trichuridae.
CAGAUAAUAGUUUAUACAAAACAUGAAGUUUGGAAAUUCAAAAACAAAGUCUGA